AGAAUACCAAACGCGUACUGAAUUGUGA
Molecule: small RNA, 28 nt
Filed under: Bombyx mori (domestic silkworm)
Lineage: Eukaryota; Metazoa; Arthropoda; Insecta; Lepidoptera; Bombycidae
Description: ovarian small RNA-4481
Source: RNAcentral